RNAcentral lists this non-coding RNA (222 nucleotides) under Dinoroseobacter shibae. The record is from RNAcentral. RNAcentral also lists the same sequence under 1 other name. Lineage: Bacteria; Pseudomonadati; Pseudomonadota; Alphaproteobacteria; Rhodobacterales; Roseobacteraceae.
CGCAGAACAGUCAGGCAUGGUUCCCCGUGCCCGCGCCAAGCGCCCGGGGGAUCAAAUGGGAAUGUGGAACGGUCCGAUCCAAACCGGAGGACCAAAGCCUCAGCCGCCCCCGCGACUGUAUGCGGAGAGGGAGAUCGACAUGCCACUGGGGCCCGCCCCGGGAAGGCCGAUCCACCCCGAUGACCCGCGAGCCAGGAGACCAGCCAUGCGCGACACCCUUAG